Molecule: ribosomal RNA, 253 nt
Filed under: uncultured bacterium
Lineage: Bacteria
Description: partial 16S ribosomal RNA
Rfam family: Bacterial small subunit ribosomal RNA
Source: RNAcentral
UACGAAGGUGGCAAGCGUUGUUCGGAAUUACUGGGCGUAAAGGGCGCGUAGGCGGUCUUGUAAGUCUCGUGUGAAAUCCCUCGGCUUAACUGAGGAACUGCACGGGAUACUGCAUGACUUGAGAUCGGGAGAGGGAAGCGGAAUUCCGGGUGUAGCGGUGAAAUGCGUAGAUAUCGGGAGGAACACCUGAGGCGAAGGCGGGCUACUGGGCCGAUACUGACGCUGAUGCGCGAAAGCCAGGGGAGCAAACGGG